RNAcentral lists this ribosomal RNA (252 nucleotides) under uncultured bacterium. RNAcentral describes it as "partial 16S ribosomal RNA". It matches the Rfam family "Bacterial small subunit ribosomal RNA", at positions 524 to 775 of the family's 1533-position model. The record is from RNAcentral.
UACGAAGGGGGCUAGCGUCGCUCGGAAUGACUGGGCGUAAAGGGCGCGUAGGCGGAUGGCACAGUCAGAUGUGAAAUUCCCGGGCUUAACCUGGGGGCUGCAUUUGAUACGUGUUGUCUAGAGUGAGGAAGAGGGUCGUGGAAUUCCCAGUGUAGAGGUGAAAUUCGUAGAUAUUGGGAAGAACACCGGUGGCGAAGGCGGCGACCUGGUCCUUGACUGACGCUGAGGCGCGAAAGCGUGGGGAGCAAACAG